CAGGACAAGUACAGCACAGGCAGCGACAGUGCGAGGUUUCCCCACACCACCCCGUCCAUGUAUCUCAACCCUGACCUGGAGGGACCACCUCUAGA
Molecule: small RNA, 95 nt
Filed under: Prolemur simus (greater bamboo lemur)
Lineage: Eukaryota; Metazoa; Chordata; Mammalia; Primates; Lemuridae
Description: TUC338 (ENSPSMG00000002271.1)
Source: RNAcentral